AUUGAACGCUGGCGGCGUGCUUAACACAUGCAAGUCGUGCGGUAACAGGCGUAGCAAUACGUGCUGACGAGCGGCGAACGGGUGCGUAAUACAUGGGAAUCUGGCCCUUUAGUGGGGAAUAACCCGGCGAAAGCCGGGCUAAUGCCGCAUAAGAUCUUCGGAUGAAAGCGGGGAUCGUAAGACCUCGCGCUGAUGGAUGAGCCCAUGUCGGAUUAGCAGUUGGUGAGGUAACGGCUCACCAAGGCGACGAUCCGUAGCUGGUCUGAGAGGACGGCCAGCCACACUGGGACUGAGACACGGCCCAGACUCCUACGGGAGGCAGCAGUGGGGAAUAUUGGACAAUGGGCGAAAGCCUGAUCCAGCGACGCCGCGUGUGU
This 377-nucleotide ribosomal RNA is filed under the name uncultured bacterium. RNAcentral's name for it is "bacterial SSU rRNA". It matches the Rfam family "Bacterial small subunit ribosomal RNA", at positions 30 to 406 of the family's 1533-position model. The record is from RNAcentral.